AAUCAACGCUGGCGGCGCGCUUAACACAUGCAAGUCGAACGAGAAAGCUCCCUUCGGGGGGUGAGUAAAGUGGCGGACGGGUGAGUAACACGUGGGUAAUCUGCCCUUGAGUGGGGAAUAACUCUGGGAAACCGGAGCUAAUACCGCAUACGAUCCUUCGGGAUGAAAGCUUUAUGCGCUCAAGGAUGAGCCCGCGGUCGAUUAGCUUGUUGGUGGGGUAAUGGCUCACCAAGGCUACGAUCGAUAGCCGGCCUGAGAGGGCACACGGCCACACUGGCACUGAGACACGGGCCAGACUCCUACGGGAGGCAGCAGUGGGGAAUCUUGGUCAAUGGGGGAAACCCUGAACCAGCGACGCCGCGUGACCGAUGAAGGCCCUCGGGUCGUAAAGGUCUUUCGACGGGGACUAUAAUGAAGGUACCCGUAAAAGCAGGAGCGGCUAACUAUGUGCCAGCAGCCGCGGUAAUACAUAGGCUCCAAGCGUUGUUCGGAAUUACUGGGCGUAAAGCGAGUGUAGGCUGUCCGCCAAGUCGAUUGUGAAAUCUCCCGGCUCAACUGGGAGGGUGCGGUCGAAACUG
RNAcentral lists this ribosomal RNA (578 nucleotides) under uncultured bacterium. RNAcentral describes it as "bacterial SSU rRNA". It matches the Rfam family "Bacterial small subunit ribosomal RNA", at positions 28 to 635 of the family's 1533-position model. The record is from RNAcentral.